Long non-coding RNA from Anolis carolinensis (green anole), 9829 nucleotides. RefSeq lists it as uncharacterized. The record is from RefSeq and is a predicted model, not a curated record. The transcript is spliced from 2 exons. Lineage: Eukaryota; Metazoa; Chordata; Lepidosauria; Squamata; Anolidae.
AAUCUCUGGAAGCAUCCAUGGGUCCUACUCUGGUGGAAAGGCAGCAUAUAAAUUAAAUGCAUACAUUAAAUAAAUCAAGUUUUAGCAAACUGCCUCUCCUAUUGAUAUAUGAUCCUGGCCCUGCUGAUGGGGAUUGUGAUGCAACCAGUGAUGAUGUUUCUUCUAUUAUGAUGUCUUCAUGGUUCCCUUGGAGAUGGGUCAAACAAGGAGAAGGAGGCAGAGGAUUCCCAUGGAAGCAGCUAAGUCCCUCUGGAGAAAAACACUGGAUUAACAAAAUCCAGAUAAGUAAUGUAUGCUCUGUAAAAACAUGCAAUAUAAAAGUACGCAGGAAAAGCAAACUGCUUAUUUUCCUGUCAAGGCUUCAAAACAUUGGCUUUCCAGGAAGCCCAUCUCCAGACGUGAACUUCUUCAACAUGUUGGUAAGUCUUUAAUGGGGUAAGUUUCUUAAUGGAAAAAUCCACAUCCUUAAAUAUUCUUCAGUUGCUAUAGUUUCACUUCUUCAUGUUGUAUUUGAAUAUAACUUCUUUGUAGACUUGUAUAUCAAUAUUUUACAGUAACCAUGUCUAUGCCUUAUUUUGCCUUCUUUUCUAAUUUAUAACAGUUGUUCAUUCUGAAGGAAAUUUGUAAAAAGUAAUCCAGGAGCUGAGUUUACCAUUUCUUUAUCUCCAAUCACGAAAAUAUGUGACUUUCAUUCUGUGCAUGGCUCUCAAGUGUAUUUUCUUAGGAAUGAUUACAGUGAUUAAACAUUAUUUCUCCAAUCAAAGCAAAAUCACUGAUACAUGGAAAAGAAUUAGACACAGAACGGAAGCAAUAUGUGAACCCCUAUUUCAGGAAGUGUCGUGAAAAGGUAAAGGUUAGAUUCUAAUAAAUUGAAAUCCAUACAGAAAUUUAUUUACUGGGGAAAAACAGACUUUUUUAUUUUCUGCUAGCUGACUUCUUCAAGCCAAGUUCUAGAAGUAUGUAUGAUGUUUAACAUUUCUUUGCUCAUAUAUGUUAUGUUUUUCCAAGUUUGAAAGUGAUCUUAAAAAAUAACACUAUUUUGGCUGAGUGAGCUGAAAAGAAUAAAGAAAAAGAUUUUAAAAUAAAAAGAAUAAAAGACUCAUGUGAUUUAAGGGAUGACAGCUACUGAAAUGAAGAGAGAAAUGUGAUAGGUGUCACAGGUAAAUAUCACAAAUGUGAAGGUAAGACCUAAAAUGGUAUCAAUUACUGCAGAGAAAGAAGGGAAUACAGGAUACAUAAAGAAUUUGUAUUUUGCAGAAAAAACAUAUAGUCAGGAUGGCAAUUCAGGGCCGGGCUAAACCGCUGUGCUGCAGAAAAUCCUGCUGAUUGAAAAGUCAACAGUUUGAGCCCGGGUUGGGGUGAGCACCCGCCAUCAGCCUCAGCUCACCUGCCCACCUAGCAGAUGGGAAGCAGAAAUGUGAGUAGAUAAAUAGGUACCACUUUUAGUGAGGAGGUAAUAAAAGGCACCCUUAAGGACAUCAGUCCAGAGGAUGAGACUACAAAAAGCUCCUUGGCAUGGAAGAUGUAGCGACAGCACCCCCUGUGGCCGGAGUCGAGCACAGACUCCAAGAUGCUGGAAAUAAGAUGGGAAAUGCCUUUACCUCUGUCUGUGUAUUGUCUGCCCUUGUUAAUUGUAUAAACACAUUGAAUACUUGCCAUGUGUGUGUUCUGUAAUCUGCCCUGAGUGCCCUUGGGAAGACAGAGUGGAAUAUAAAUAAAGCAUAUUAUUAUUAUUAUUAUUAUUAUUAUUAUUAUUAUUAUUAUUAUUAUUAAUUCAGAGAUAAGAAAUAACCUUCAGUUCUUUAAAAGGUUUAACACUUUGAAAGAAUUCAGCAGAUGAGGUGAGUAUGUCAGUAUUUCCAAGUGCCAAACCCUGUCCCUAACUUUGCUUACACUUUUUACUGGACAACAUAUGAGGUUUUAGGCAUUUGACAACCUUCAAGAAGCAACAAACAUCUAACAAAAAUCUGAUAAAAGGGACAGAGCAAGGCUGGCUUCAGGAAAAUAAAAAACCUCUUCAGUGAACUUCAUGAUGGUAAGUCUUUGUAUGGUAGAUAUCUAAACCAGUACAUUCUGAAUGUGGUUGGAACAAAACAAUCCAGUAGUCGAAAUAUUUAAAUAUUUCAUGGUGGCCAAAGUCUAUGCCUUAAUUUGCCUGGCUUUCUAAUUAAGGUAGUUGUACUUUUUAAAGGAGACUGGAAGAAAGAAAUCCAAGAACUGAGGUAAGCAGCACUUUAUCAUUCCCAAUACCUAAAGAAUGCCACUCUCUUUCUUUGACUGGGUCUCAGCAAUAUUUUGUCUGGACUGACUGCAAUGGACAAGUAUCAUUUCUCCAUAUAGAAUGCAAAUAAACUGGUAUAGAAAAAGAUAAUUAGAGACAAACUAGUGCUAUAAGUGAACCUCUACUUUAGAAAUCAACUAGAAAGGGUAAAGGUUAGAUUCCAAUUAAAAAUGUAACAUUCCUACAAUAAAUAAUGUAUUGGAAAUACCGUACGUUAUACAUCAAAUAAGCUCUUCAAACAAACAUCUAGAAGUAUGUGUGAUAUUUAGCAUUUCAUUCCAGGUUAGAAAGAGGUUUUAAAAAGUAAAAUUCUUUACUCUUUAAAAGAGCUGGUAAAAAGAAAAAAUAUGGAUUUUAACAAGAUUUUAAAAUGUAUACAAUGAAUAAUAAAAUAAUCUCGUGUGAUAUAAGAGAUGGCAGUUGCUAAAAUGACUCAAGAAGAGAGAAGUGUGAUAAAUGUCACAAGUGAACAUCAUAAAUGUGAAGGUAAGUCCUCAAAUCGUAUCCUUUACAGCAGAGAAGGAAGAAUAUAUGGGAUUAAUAAGGAAAUUGUACUAUACACAAAACAUAUGUUAAGGAUGGUACAGGUAAGAAAUGACCUCCAGUUCUUUAAAAGAGAGUUUAUUGUCUGAAAGAGACUGAUAGAAAGGAAUCCAACAAAUGAGGUGUGUAUGUCAGUAUUUUCAGAUGCCAAAGUGUAUACCUAAAUUAUUUCGUUGGAAAAAUGAUUUCAAGCUUUUGACAACUUUCAGGAAGCAGCAAACUUGUAACAAACUUCCAAGAAGCAGUAAUUAUGUAAAGAACAAGACUUGCUGCAGAAAAGUAAAGUUUCUCCAGUGAAUUUCUCUAACAUGUUACUAAAACUCUAUGGGGUAAGUUUUUCAAGAAUUCAUAUACCGGAAAAUACUUAAGUGGCUAAAGGUUUAUUUUUCAAUCCAGUUGUUGAAGUAUUUCAGUAUUUCACAGUGACCAAUCUCUGCCUUACAAGAUGUUAAAAUGUAAACAAUGAAUUAAAAAUUAUAUGACUUAUAUGCUAAAAAUGAUUCAAGAGAAAAAUGUAACAAUGCCACAAGUGUACAUCAUAAAUGUGAAGGUUGGUCCUGAAAUGGUAUCGUUCACUGCAGGGAAAGAAAAGUAUAUGGGAUAAAUAAAGAAAAUGAUUCAAAAUGACACCAAAAAUAUUUGGCAAGGAUGGCAGUUCAGAGGUAAGAAAAAACAUUUAGUUUUUUAACACAGUUUUAUUGUUUGAAAGAGACAGGAAGAAAGGAAUCCAGCAGAUGAGGUGGGUAUGUCAGUAUUUCUAGCUGCCGAGGUCUCUCCCUUUGUCUAGAUUUUUAGCAGGAAAAUACAAGAUUUCAGGCUUCUGUCAAGCCUCAAGAAGCAAUAAGCAUGCAACAAAAGUGUGAUACAAGGCAAAGAACAAGGCCCCAAAAAGAUAAAAGUGGAAAGCUUUUCUGGUGAACUUCACCAACAUGGUGGUAAGUCUCUAUGAGGUAGGUUUGAUUUCAAUAGUAUAUUGUCAGGACUCACUGCAGUGGUCAAGUAUCAGUGGUUAAGUGUCGUUACUCUAUGCAGAAGGCAAACAAACUGUCCUGAAGCAAAAAAAGUGAGUUUCAGGAAUUGGCUGCAAAAGUUAACUGUUAGUUGCUAUUUUUUUUAAAAAAAAAACCCCAAAAAACCAUUAAAAUUCUUAGAAUAAAUCAUUUAUUUGAGAGAAAACAAGUAAUUGAUCAUUUUUCUUUAAUGCUAUCUGGUUCCUUCACGGCAAAUUUGUUUAACAUUUGCUCAAAUGUGCACUUCUUUCCAAGUUUGAAAGAGAUCUGCAAGGAUUUAUUUUACAGUUGAAUGAACUGAAAAGAAUAAAGGAAUCUGUGGGAAAUAACAAGGUUUUUCACGGUAAACAAAGAAUAAUUUGAAAGGUCUUGUGUGGUUUCAGUUGCUGACAUGAUUCAAAGAGAGAAAAGUGUGACAAUGUCACAGAGGAACAUCAGCAAUGUGAAAGUAAGUCCUGAAAUUGUAUCCUUUGCUGCAUGUUUUAAUUGAUCAUGUAUUACUCUCUGAUGUAUUAGUAUGAAUUUUAUAUGUUGUACACCACUUUGAAUCCCACGCAUGGGAGAAAAGUGGGAUAGAAAUGAAAUAAUAAUAAUAAUAAUAAUAAUAAUAAUAAUAAUAAUAAUAAUAAUAAUAAUAAUAAUAAUAAUGUCUGAUCUUUUUCCUUGGCCACUCACUGGGAUAUUUUAACAGUUAUUUGAUGUUUUAGUGACAUUUUUGCAGUUUUGGAAGAGAUUGUCCAGUGCAAAAAAAUCUGCAGCUGACCCAAUACUUCAUGUAUUACUUCUAUUUCAAGGAGAACAUCACAAAUUUGUUGCCAAAGGCCAAUUGCUUUGUCAUUUUUGGAGUUUUCAAACUAAUAAUGUUAUUUAGAAACGUAUUAAUUUCUUUUUCUUUUAGCAGGUUGAAAAGGGGAAAGGGAAUUUUUAGAAUGAAAGGGGCUGUGUGUAACCUCCACUUUAGGAACUGGCUAGAAAAUCUUCAAAAGUCUUAUUUCCUGACAGUGACAGAAAGCUACCAACUUGUAAGAUAAAAUGUAAUUGAUGGCAAGAGAACAUAACAUGUUUCUAGCAGGGUCUGCAAAGACAAUAUGAACAUGGAAGUAGAUGUUUAAGAGGUAGGUUCUUUGCUGAAACGAAAAGGGGUUCUAGAUCAUUUGUCUUUACUGUUCAAGCCAGCCACUAAAAUGUACUCACCCCCAUUUAUGCUUUAUUUUACGAAUGUGAAAUAAAUUUUAAAAAUUGAAUUGAAAUAGACUCAACCUUUCUCUCAACAUAGUGUCAUAUCCAGUAUUAGUAACUCUGAAUUCUGUAAAUAUCUGAGAUGGUAACUUUGGAUGUCUGUAUUUUGAAAUCUGUCCAGCUAUACAGUAUGUUGAAUCACACUGGAGAAAGCAUCUUCAGGAACCUAAAAAUACAACUGCAUUGAUUUCAUAGAUAAUCCAAAGCAAGACAUGCUGAUACCAGGUUUCUUUAUUUGCUUCAAGAAGAGCAAGUGAAGAGCCUCUCUCUUCAAAAUACUUCAGCCAUAAAUUCAUAACAGGUAAAACCUCUGUGAGGUAAGUUUCUAAAUGGGAAGAAUUAAUUAUCCUGGAAAAUACCUAGGCUGGGUAAAGGUUGCUUCUUCACUUUGUAGUCAGAUGUAACCUCUUUAUAGUCUUGAGAAGGAAGUUUUCAAUUUUUUUAAAAAACUGUACAUUCUGAAAGUAGGUGGGACAAAUCAAUCCAGCAAUAUGUUUGGUUUUCAUGUGCCUUGCUUCAUGGAUUUCUAUGUACCAAUGAACCUGGUUUUCUUUUAAAGCUUACUGGAAAAAUAAGAUAUUUCAGGUUUCUCACAACUUUUUAGAAGCAGCAAAGAUGUAACACAAAUCUGAUAUAAAGGAAAGAGCAAGACUGGCUUCAGGAAGGCAAAAAAGCCUCUCCAAUGAAUGUAUCAACAUGGGUAAGUAGAUUUCCUAAUGGGAAAUUUUCAUAUCCUGGAAAAUACGGAUGUUAAAGAUAAGUUUUUUUACUUUGUUCUUGUAAAUAACCUCUUUGUAGUCUUUAAAGGGAGUUUUCCUGUUUUAAGGGAACUGCAAAUCCAUUCUUUUUGUAUUAGGGAUAUCUAAACAAGUAUAUUCUAAAAGAUGCUGGAACGAAACAAUCCAGCAUUGAAAUAUUGAAAUAUUUCAAGGUGAUGAACGUCUAUGUCUUACUCUGUCUGGCUUGUAUGAUUUCUAACAUUUCUUGGCUCACGUGUGGACUUUUUUCCAGGUUAGAAAGGCAUUUAAAAAUAAUAUCCUUUAACGAAGUGAGGCAAAAACAUAAAAAGCUAUGGGUUUUACCAAGAUUUUAAAAUGUAUACAAGGAAUAAUAACAAAAAAAUUAUUCAUGUGAUUUAAAGGCUGACAGUUGCUGAAAUGACUAAAGAAGAGAGAAAUGUGACAAAUGUCAUAGGUGAACAAUGUGAAUGUGAAGGUAGGUUCUCAAAUGAUAUCUUUUACUGCAGGGAAAGAAAAGUAUACAGAAAAAAAUAAAAUGUGUAUACACACAAAAUGUAUGGUCAGCAUGGCAAUUAUGUGAUAAGAAACAUUCUUCAGUUCUUUAACAGAGAGGGGUUUUUGUCUGAAAGAGACCAGAAGAAAGGAAUCCAACAGAUGAAAUGGGUAUGACAAUAUUUUCCUAACUUUGUCUACAUUUUUGCUGGGGGGGAGGGGGGGAAUGAGAUCUCAGGCUUUGACAACUUUCAGAUGCAGCAAACAUAUAACAAGGAUAACAUGAUGUAAGAUAAAGAACAAUUUCAGAGAAGUAAGAAUCUCUCCAGUAAACUUCACCAACAUGCUGGUAAGUCUCCAUGAGGUAAGUUUCUUAAUUGGAAAAAGUAUCUUGGAAAAUGCUAAGGUUUCAGUUCUUCAACAGAGAGCUGUACAGUCUGAAAGAGACCGGAAGAAGAAAAAAUCCAGCAGAUGAGGUGGUUCUUUUAGUAUUUCUGGUUCCCAAAGUUUACCCCUAACUUUGUCUAGAUUUUUUUUUUGCUGGAAAAAUAUGAGAUUUUAGGCAUAUGACAACCUACAAGAAGCAGUGAACACGUAAACACAAAUCUGAUAUAAGGUAAAAACAACAACAACCACAACAACCACAACAACAACAACCAAAACUAGCUUCAGGAAAGUUUUCAAAAAGCCUCUCCAAUGAACUUUACGAACAUGAUGGUAAGUCUCUGAGGUAUGUGUCUUAAUGGGGAGAAUUCAUAUCCUCAAAAAUACUUUAGUAGUUAAAAGUUUAUUAUUUUUUUCACUUUGUACUUGUAUAUAAACUGUUUAUAGAUUUUAAAAGUACUGCAAAUCCGUCCUGCUUUCUGUUCUAAAAGUGGUUGUGGAGGGAAAAUCCAGCAGAUGAAAUAUUUCAAAAAUUCAUGGUGACAAGUUUUGGUUACUUUGCUCAGGUUUCUAACUAUGUACUUCCCUCACUUAUUUCUGCUGUAUUUCUGAAUAUGAAGUGAAUUUUGGAAAUUGGAAAUUGGCCAUCCAUUCUCUUAACAUAAUUUCAUUUUCAGUAUAGGUUACUCUGCAUUAUGUAAAUAUCUGAGAUGGUAAGUCUAUAUUUUGAGAUCUUGCACAGAAUACAGAAAAAUCGGUCCAGCUAUAUUUUGAAGCCUACUGGGAAAAGCAUCUUCAGGAACUUAAUAAUACAACUGUUUUGAUUUCAUAGAUCAUCCAAAGCAAGACACGCUGAUAUCAGGUUUCUUUAUUUGCUUCAAGAAGAGGAAAGUGAAAAGCCUUUCCACUGGACUUCUCCAACAUGUUGGUAAGAUUCUAUAUGAGAUAAGUUUCUAAAUGGGAAGAAUCACAUCCUGGAAAAUAGGCUGGUUAAAGGUGAUUUCUUAACUUAGUACUCAUAUAUAACUUCUUUGCAGAAUUUAAAUGGAAUUUCUCCUUUUGAAAAGAACUGUAAAUCAAUUUGCUAAGGAUAUAUAAGCAUGUAUAUUCUGAAAGUAGUUGGAACAAAUCAAUCAGCCAACUGAGGUAUUUCAGUAUUUCAUAGUGACCAGUCUAUGCCUUACUUUGCUUGGGUUUCUCACUAUAGCAGCAGCAUAUUCUGAAGGAAACUGGAAGAAAGGAAUCCAGGAACUUAGGCAAGUACAUCAUAAGUCUUAAUAUGUAAUUAUUGCCACUGUAUUUAUUUUGGGCCUCUCUCCACAAUAUUUUCUGAGGACUAAUUGCUGUGGUUAAGUAUUAUUUUUUCCAUACAGAAUGCAAACACACUGGUACAUGGAGGAAGACGUAGAGAUGAAUUGAAGGUAUAAGUGGACCUAUAUCUUGGGAAUUGGUUGUAUUAUAAUUAACAUCUUUAGCUUUCAUACAAUAAAUCAUUUAGUGAAAAGAAAAUAAAUAAUUGGUAAUUGCUUCUAUCGUCCUAGCAAGCUUCAGACUAUAAUGUUUAACUUUUGUUUGAUUGUAUGUGGACUUCUUCCCAGGUUUACAAGACAUUUUACAAGUUAAAUUUCUAUAAAGCAGGUGACAUGAAAAAGAAUAAUCAAACUGCAUUUUUAAAGUAGACAAAGAACAAUAUAAACAGUCCCAUGUGAUUUUAGUUGUUGAAAUGAUUCAAGAAGUGAGAAGUGUGACAGUGUCACACGGAAUAUCAGCAAUGUGAAAGUAGAUCCUGAAAUGGGAUCCUUUACUGUACAAAAAGAUAUUUGGUGCUUUUCCUUGCUGGCUCACUGAGGAUGUCACUGUGAUGGUUCAAUAGUUAUUUGAUGCUUUAGUGACUUUUUGUUGUUGUUGCAGCUUUGGAAGAGAUUGUCCAGUGCCAAACAUUCUGUAGAUGACUUACUAUUUGAAGAUAGGUGAAAUUACAUCAAUAGUUUGAGAAGACCAAGAAAGCAAAGCAUAGCACAAACUUGGGUGAGAUAAGAAACAUUCUCAAAGCCCAAAUAUUUUAUCACUUUUUCUGGAAUGUUUUUCCCUCUGGCUUUUUCAAAUGAAUAAUAUGAUUAAUAUGUUGAUUAAUUUAUUUUCCUUUGAGCAGGUUGAAAAAGGAAUGUUGAAAAUUAAACAAAUUGUAUGUGACACUUUAGAAACUGUCUACAAUAUCUUCAAAAUUCUUAUUUACUGACAGGGAAACACACUGGAGUCAGGUGAGGGGUAAGAAAGCAAUUCCUCUUGUAAAUCAAACUCUUGAUACUCUUUACUGCAGGGAAAGGUCCUUGAUCAUUUUUCCUUGUUGGUUCACUGAAAAUGUCACUGUGAUGGUCUGACAGUUAUUUGAUACUUUGCAGAUUUGAAAGGAAUUGUUCAAUAAAAAAGAUCUUCAGAUGAUCCAUAGUUUGAAAAUACUUCCAUUAAAUGUUUGGCAAGAAAGCAAGGCAUAACUAAACUCUAGUUAGGUAAGAAGCAUUACUUUUUCGCAUUACUUCUUUAAGGAGAACAAUGUAUUAAACAGCACAAAUUUGUGUUAAAUAUUACUAUUUAGUUUUUUAUUAAUUUUUUUUCCUUUGAGCAGGUUCAAAAUUAUUUUUUAGAAUGAAAAUAGAUAUGUGUGACAGAUGGAAGAGAAAUGUCAGGAGAAAAUGUUACUAGACCACGGCCAUACUGCCAGGAAGGCACACAACACUACGGAAGUGGAUGCUUUCUAGUGUCAAGAGAUGCCUGAAUAAGAAAUGUUCUUUCUCCUUUCAGGUGGUGCUUGUUUUUUUUCCUGUAGAGAAAAGCCACAGCACUUGCAGAGCUGGCCUUUGGACUACAGCACAGCAUUGUUGAGGGCGGGGAAGGGAUCAGGGAUCAUGGCAACAGGGCAUUUGUGCAUGGCUCUUGCUCAUGGGAUGCCCAGGGCUAGUGGUGCUGACCGUCAUUUUUGGGGUCGGGAAGGAAUUUUCCUCCAGGGCAGAUUGGCCUGAGACCCUGGAGGUUUUUCGCCUUCCUCUGGGCAUUGAGCAGGAGUCACCAGCCAUGUCAGAUGGCACAUUCAGGUCAAUUAAAAUAUCAUCUUUAAAAAUAAAUAUGUUAAUUGAAAACUA